Molecule: ribosomal RNA, 500 nt
Filed under: uncultured bacterium
Lineage: Bacteria
Description: partial 16S ribosomal RNA
Rfam family: Bacterial small subunit ribosomal RNA
Source: RNAcentral
AUUGAACGCUGGCGGAAUGCUUUACACAUGCAAGUCGAACGGCAGCACGGACUUCGGUCUGGUGGCGAGUGGCGAACGGGUGAAUAAUGUAUCGGAACGUGCCCAGUCGUGGGGGAUAACGUAGUGAAAAUUACGCUAAUACCGCAUACGAUCUAUGGAUGAAAGCGGGGGAUCGCAAGACCUCGCGCGAUUGGAGCGGCCGAUAUCAGAUUAGGUAGUUGGUGGGGUAAAGGCCCACCAAGCCAACGAUCUGUAGCUGGUCUGAGAGGACGACCAGCCACACUGGAACUGAGACACGGUCCAGACUCCUACGGGAGGCAGCAGUGGGGAAUUUUGGACAAUGGGCGAAAGCCUGAUCCAGCCAUUCCGCGUGCAGGAUGAAGGCCCUCGGGUUGUAAACUGCUUUUGUACAGAACGAAAGGGUUUCUACUAAUACUAGGAGCUCAUGACGGUACUGUAAGAAUAAGCACCGACUAACUACGUGCCAGCCGCCGCAGUAA